This 497-nucleotide ribosomal RNA is filed under the name uncultured bacterium. RNAcentral's name for it is "partial 16S ribosomal RNA". It matches the Rfam family "Bacterial small subunit ribosomal RNA", at positions 28 to 507 of the family's 1533-position model. The record is from RNAcentral.
GAUGAACGCUGGCGGCGUGCCUAAUACAUGCAAGUCGAGCGAACAGACGAGGAGCUUGCUCCUCUGACGUUAGCGGCGGACGGGUGAGUAACACGUGGAUAACCUACCUAUAAGACUGGGAUAACUUCGGGAAACCGGAGCUAAUACCGGAUAAUAUAUUGAACCGCAUGGUUCAAUAGUGAAAGACGGUUUUGCUGUCACUUAUAGAUGGAUCCGCGCCGCAUUAGCUAGUUGGUAAGGUAACGGCUUACCAAGGCAACGAUGCGUAGCCGACCUGAGAGGGUGGUCGGCCACACUGGAACUGAGACACGGUCAAGACUCCUACGGGAGGCAGCAGAAGGGAAUCUGCCGCAAUGGGCGAAAACCUGACGGAGCAGCGCCGCGUGAGUGAUGAAGGUCUUCGGAUCGUAAAACUCUGUUAUUGGGGAAGAACAAAUGUGUAAGUAACUAUGCACGUCUUGACGGUACCUAAUCAGAAAGCCACGGCUAACUACGUG